GACGAACGCUGGCGGCGUGCUUAACACAUGCAAGUCGAACGGUGAAGCGCCUUCCUUUUUGGUGGGUGUGGAUGAGUGGCGAACGGGUGAAUAACACGUGAGUAACCUGCCCCCUUCUUCUGGAUAACCGCAUGAAAGUGUGGCUAAUACGGGAUAUUCUGGGUCUGUCGCAUGAUGGGUCUGGGAAAGAUAUUGUUUCGGUGGGGGAUGGGCUCGCGGCCUAUCAGCUUGUUGGUGGGGUGAUGGCCUACCAAGGCGGUGACGGGUAGCCGGCCUGAGAGGGUGGACGGUCACACUGGGACUGAGACACGGCCCAGACUCCUACGGGAGGCAGCAGUGGGGAAUAUUGCACAAUGGGCGCAAGCCUGAUGCAGCGACGCCGCGUGAGGGAUGGAGGCCUUCGGGUUGUGAACCUCUUUCGCCAGUGAAGCAGGCCUGCCUCGUUUGUGGGUGGGUUGACGGUAGCUGGAUAAGAAGCGCCGGCUAACUACGUG
RNAcentral lists this ribosomal RNA (494 nucleotides) under uncultured bacterium. RNAcentral describes it as "partial 16S ribosomal RNA". It matches the Rfam family "Bacterial small subunit ribosomal RNA", at positions 28 to 507 of the family's 1533-position model. The record is from RNAcentral.